RNAcentral lists this ribosomal RNA (742 nucleotides) under Quistrachia herberti. RNAcentral's name for it is "partial 16S ribosomal RNA". The stretch from base 303 to 546 matches the Rfam family "Archaeal large subunit ribosomal RNA", at positions 1785 to 2143 of the family's 2987-position model. The record is from RNAcentral. Lineage: Eukaryota; Metazoa; Mollusca; Gastropoda; Stylommatophora; Camaenidae.
CACGAAACAAGAUGAGCUAAUUAAUAUCUCAUGUUAGUUAUUAUAUGUAACAUAAUAUUAUUAGAAUAUUAAUUAGGGAUGAAAGGUCAACCAAGUCUUGUGAUAACUUGAUGUUUUUGAAAAGUAUUAAGUACAGUGACAAUUUAUGAGUGCGAAGGCUCAUAAAAAUUAUUAAUUAUUAUUAUUGUUACCUUGUUAGUUUAACCGCUUGCAAGUUAUAAAUUUAUUAUUCUUAUAGAAAUAAUUAUAUUAUUUUCAAGACAACUUAUUAACUUCUUAUGUAGUUUAUAAUGUUGCUAUAAGUAAUUAAGAGAUAUUUAAAAUGAACUCGGCAACAUAUUUUUCAACUGUUUACCAAAAACAUUGCCAGUAGUUAGUUUUAUUGGUAUUUUCUGCUCAAUGAUACUUAAAUAGCCGCAGUACUCUGACUGUGCAAAGGUAGCAUAAUAAAUUGGCUUCUGAUUAAAGUCUUGGAUGAAAGAAACAAUGAAAAAUAACUGUAUCUUAAAUAUAAUAUUAAAUUACUGAGCAAGUGCAAAUUCUUGCAUUUAAAUAAUAGACGAGAAGACCCUGGAAAUUUUUAAAAUAGUUCAAUGGGGGUUUUUGUUGGGGCAACAGUAUAACAUAUAAUUUAUAUUAUAUACAAGAAAUAUAAUUGAAAGAUUAAAUUACUCUAGGGAUAACAGCGUAAUGUAUAAACGUUUGCGACCUCGAUGUUGGACUAGGACACGAAAGCUUAAAA